AUUCAUCUUCAUAGGGCCCCAUCCCCUAGUUGACAUUUUAGGAAAUAAACCUUCCUAUGUUCCUUCUUCAUGUCUUCACAGGGUAUGACAAUCCCUAGUCAUAUUUUUAGGAGCGAAAAUCCUAAUUCUUUUUCAUGCAUUCAUUAGGCAUAACUUCCUUUGGUCAUAUUAUUAAGAAUAGGGUUCUUAUUUUAUCGCACUCCUAGCCUAAAUUUCUAUCCAUUCGUUUAUUU
RNAcentral lists this long non-coding RNA (233 nucleotides) under Capsicum annuum. Its description in RNAcentral is "long non-coding RNA (CANN_LNC009460)". Lineage: Eukaryota; Viridiplantae; Streptophyta; Magnoliopsida; Solanales; Solanaceae. The record is from RNAcentral.